This 1210-nucleotide ribosomal RNA is filed under the name Photobacterium leiognathi. RNAcentral's name for it is "bacterial SSU rRNA". It matches the Rfam family "Bacterial small subunit ribosomal RNA", at positions 33 to 1241 of the family's 1533-position model. Lineage: Bacteria; Pseudomonadati; Pseudomonadota; Gammaproteobacteria; Vibrionales; Vibrionaceae. The record is from RNAcentral.
GGGCAUGGCGGCAGCUACACAUGCAGUCGAGCGGCAGCGACUUAACUGAACCUUCGGGGAACGUUAAGGGCGGCGAGCGGCGGACGGGUGAGUAAUGCCUGGGAAUAUGCCCUGAUGUGGGGGAUAACUAUUGGAAACGAUAGCUAAUACCGCAUAAUCUCUUCGGAGCAAAGAGGGGGACCUUCGGGCCUCUCGCGUCAGGAUUAGCCCAGGUGGGAUUAGCUUGUUGGUGAGGUAAUGGCUCACCAAGGCAACGAUCCCUAGCUGGUCUGAGAGGAUGAUCAGCCACACUGGAACUGAGACACGGUCCAGACUCCUACGGGAGGCAGCAGUGGGGAAUAUUGCACAAUGGGGGAAACCCUGAUGCAGCCAUGCCGCGUGUAUGAAGAAGGCCUUCGGGUUGUAAAGUACUUUCAGUAGGGAGGAAGGCAGUGUCGUUAAUAGCGGCAUUGUUUGACGUUACCUACAGAAGAAGCACCGGCUAACUCCGUGCCAGCAGCCGCGGUAAUACGGAGGGUGCGAGCGUUAAUCGGAAUUACUGGGCGUAAAGCGCAUGCAGGCGGUCUGUUAAGCAAGAUGUGAAAGCCCGGGGCUCAACCUCGGAACAGCAUUUUGAACUGGCAGACUAGAGUCUUGUAGAGGGGGGUAGAAUUUCAGGUGUAGCGGUGAAAUGCGUAGAGAUCUGAAGGAAUACCGGUGGCGAAGGCGGCCCCCUGGACAAAGACUGACGCUCAGAUGCGAAAGCGUGGGGAGCAAACAGGAUUAGAUACCCUGGUAGUCCACGCCGUAAACGAUGUCUACUUGGAGGUUGUGGCCUUGAGCCGUGGCUUUCGGAGCUAACGCGUUAAGUAGACCGCCUGGGGAGUACGGUCGCAAGAUUAAAACUCAAAUGAAUUGACGGGGGCCCGCACAAGCGGUGGAGCAUGUGGUUUAAUUCGAUGCAACGCGAGAACCUUACCUACUCUUGACAUCCAGAGAACUUAGCAGAGAUGCAUUGGUGCCUUCGGGACUCUGAGACAGGUGCUGCAUGACUGUCGUCAGCUCGUGUUGUGAAAUGUGGUAGUCCCGCACGAGCGCACCCUUAUCGUGUUUGCAGCACGUCAUGUUGACUCCAGGAGACUGGCGGGGAAUAAACGGAGUAGGUGGGAACCACGUUCAGUCAUCAUGCCUUACGAGUAGGCUACACAACCGUGCUCCUACAAUUGGGCCG